GCCCCCGUCGCCCAACUGGAUAGGGCAACGCUCUUCUAAGGCAUCAGGUGUAGGUUCGAAUCCUGCCGGGGGCGCCA
This 77-nucleotide transfer RNA is filed under the name Novosphingobium sp. RNAcentral describes it as "tRNA-Arg". It matches the Rfam family "tRNA". From Rfam's summary of the family: Transfer RNA (tRNA) molecules are approximately 80 nucleotides in length. Their secondary structure includes four short double-helical elements and three loops (D, anti-codon, and T loops). RNAcentral also lists the same sequence under 1 other name. The record is from RNAcentral. Lineage: Bacteria; Pseudomonadati; Pseudomonadota; Alphaproteobacteria; Sphingomonadales; Sphingomonadaceae.